AACGAACGCUGGCGGCAGGCUUAACACAUGCAAGUCGAGCGCCCCGCAAGGGGAGCGGCAGACGGGUGAGUAACACGUGGGAACCUUCCUCGUUGUACGGAACAACUCAGGGAAACUUGAGCUAAUACCGUAUACGUCCGAGAGGAGAAAGAUUUAUCGCAAUGAGACGGGCCCGCGUGGGAUUAGCUAGUUGGUGGGGUAACGGCCUACCAAGGCGACGAUCCGUAGCUGAUCUGAGGGGAUGAUCAGCCACACUGGGACUGAGACACGGCCCAGACUCCUACGGGAGGCAGCAGUGGGGAAUCUUGGACAAUGGGCGCAAGCCUGAUCCAGCCAUGCCGCGUGAGUGAAGAAGGCCUUCGGGUUGUAAAGCUCUUUUGUCAGGGACGAUAAUGACGGUACCUGAAGAAUAAGCCCCGGCGAACUUCGUGCCAGCAGCCGCAGUAA
This 447-nucleotide ribosomal RNA is filed under the name uncultured bacterium. Its description in RNAcentral is "partial 16S ribosomal RNA". It matches the Rfam family "Bacterial small subunit ribosomal RNA", at positions 29 to 523 of the family's 1533-position model. The record is from RNAcentral.